This 32-nucleotide non-coding RNA is filed under the name Mus musculus (house mouse). The record is from RNAcentral. Lineage: Eukaryota; Metazoa; Chordata; Mammalia; Rodentia; Muridae.
UGGGAAUUGAAUCCAGGACUUCUGGAAGAGGA